UGGGGAAUUUUGGACAAUGGGCGCAAGCCUGAUCCAGCCAUGCCGCGUGUGUGAAGAAGGCCUUCGGGUUGUAAAGCACUUUCGGACGGAACGAAAUCGCGCGGGUUAACAGCCCGCGUGGAUGACGGUACCGUAAGAAGAAGCACCGGCUAACUACGUGCCAGCAGCCGCGGUAAUACGUAGGGUGCGAGCGUUAAUCGGAAUUACUGGGCGUAAAGGGUGCGCAGGCGGCCCCGCAAGUCAGGCGUGAAAUCCCCGAGCUCAACUUGGGAAUGGCGCUUGAAACUACGGGGCUGGAGUGUGGCAGAGGGAGGUGGAAUUCCACGUGUAGCGGUGAAAUGCGUAGAUAUGUGGAGGAACACCGAUGGCGAAGGCAGCCUCCUGGGCCAACACUGACGCUCAUGCACGAAAGCGUGGGGAGCAAACAGGAUUAGAUACCCUGGUAGUCCACGCCCUAAACGAUGACGACUAGUUGUUGGAGGAGUUAAAUCCUUUAGUAACGAAGCUAACGCGCGAAGUCGUCCGCCUGGGGAGUACGGUCGCAAGAUUA
RNAcentral lists this ribosomal RNA (550 nucleotides) under uncultured bacterium. RNAcentral's name for it is "bacterial SSU rRNA". It matches the Rfam family "Bacterial small subunit ribosomal RNA", at positions 355 to 896 of the family's 1533-position model. The record is from RNAcentral.